RNAcentral lists this transfer RNA (151 nucleotides) under Cladonia macilenta KoLRI003786. Its description in RNAcentral is "tRNA-Und (NNN) (tRNA-Und-NNN-1-1)". Lineage: Eukaryota; Fungi; Ascomycota; Lecanoromycetes; Lecanorales; Cladoniaceae. The record is from RNAcentral.
GCCCGGCUGGCGCAAUGGUAGCGCAUCAGUGAGUUUUCCCCCCGUUCUUACGCAGCCCACGGAGGGGUUGCGAAGAAUUUUAGUUCCAAAUCUAACCGAGAUCCCAGGACUUCUAAUCUGGAGGCUGUGGGUUCGAGCCCCACGUCGGGUG